UUAAUAUAUUUAAAUUUUUACAGCAUAUGGCCUUAUCAGACUAGUAAUUGUUUCAAAAGUUUAAUAUGGAUGUGUUUGCUUGGGUGCCCGUUAGGACAUCCCAUAACAUUUUGUAAUGAUCCUUCCGCAGGUUCACCUACGGAAA
Molecule: unclassified non-coding RNA, 145 nt
Filed under: uncultured fungus
Lineage: Eukaryota; Fungi
Description: sequence contains ITS1
Source: RNAcentral